GAUGAACGCUGGCGGCGUGCCUAAUACAUGCAAGUCGAGCGAACGGACGAGAAGCUUGCUUCUCUGAUGUUAGCGGCGGACGGGUGAGUAACACGUGGAUAACCUACCUAUAAGACUGGGAUAACUUCGGGAAACCGGAGCUAAUACCGGAUAAUAUUUUGAACCGCAUGGUUCAAAAGUGAAAGACGGUCUUGCUGUCACUUAUAGAUGGAUCCGCGCUGCAUUAGCUAGUUGGUAAGGUAACGGCUUACCAAGGCAACGAUGCAUAGCCGACCUGAGAGGGUGAUCGGCCACACUGGAACUGAGACACGGACCAGACUCCUACGGGAGGCAGCAGUAGGGAAUCUUCCGCAAUGGGCGAAAGCCUGACGGAGCAACGCCGCGGGAGUGAUGAAGGUCUUCGGAUCGUAAAACUCUGUUAUUAGGGAAGAACAUAUGUGUAAGUAACUGUGCAAAUCUUGACGGUACCGAAGCAGAAAGCCACGGCUAACUACGU
RNAcentral lists this ribosomal RNA (496 nucleotides) under uncultured bacterium. RNAcentral's name for it is "partial 16S ribosomal RNA". It matches the Rfam family "Bacterial small subunit ribosomal RNA", at positions 28 to 506 of the family's 1533-position model. The record is from RNAcentral.